GUCGCACUACUGCACUCCAGUCUGGUGACAGAGCGAGAUUCCACCUCAAAAAAAAAAAUGCAAUGAACACAUGUCAUCCUGCCCAAGCCAAAAGAAAGAUGGGAGCUAUUUUCUCAGCUGGUAGCAUAAUUGUAUUAUUCGCAGAGGCACACUGAAGACUCAGUGUCAGCUCGGUGCAGUUAGAAAGAACGCUGACGGUGGCAAAGCUAAAUGGUCUUUGUCAGGCAUUCUCCAGCAUUCAAACGGGUAAUAUUCCAUAGCGUCUUUCACUAAGUCAGUUCAUGCAGGGAGGCAGAAGCAGGAGGCAGCGCUCUCAAAGUCACAGGCUCCAAGUGAGCCAUGCUGAAGUUUAGUUUCAUGGUCGAGGUUGCCAACUAGUAACUUUUAUUCAUACAAUUUUCAAGUUAAAAUCUUUAUUUCCAGCUAGGCGCGGUGGCUCAUGCCUGUAAUCCCAGCACUUUGGGAGGCCGAGGCAGGCAGAUCACGAGGUCAGGAGAUCAAGACCAUCCUGGCUAACGCGGUGAAUCCCCAUCUCUACUAAAAAUACAAAAACAAAAAAUUAGCCAGGUGUGGUGGCAGGCACCUGUAGUCCCAGCUACUCGGGAGGCUGAGGCAGGAGAAUGGUGUGAACCCGGGAGGCGGAGGUUGCAGUGAGCCGAGAUUGUGCCACUGCACUCCAGCUUGGGCCACAGAGCAAGGCUCCAUCUCAAAAAAAAAAAAAAAAUCCUCACUUCCACACUUUCCCACGGUGCCCUGGGAUCUUGGCUAUUUGCUCAAGCAUUUGAAAACAUUUCUUUUUUAAUUUCUUGAAAGCUUAAGUUCACAAAGAAACUUGUACAUGAAUGCUCAUGGAAGCUUCAUUUGUAAUGGUCGAAAAUGGGGGACAAGGCAGCCGUCCUUCGACGAUGACUGAUUAAACAGUGGUGUGUCCACACCAGGAACACGGCUCAGCUAUGGAAAGGAACGGGCUCUGAUACACACAGCAACGUGAAUGGGUCUCAAGGGCAUUUUACUGAGUGCAAAAAUGCCUUGUGAGGUUACUGUGUGGUUUUGUUUAUGUAACAGUCUCAAAGGAUAAAAUUAUAGAGACGGAGAGCAGAUUAAUGGUUCCAGGAGCAAGGAAGACAGGAACCCUCGUGUGGAGCUGUUCUGCCUCUUGACUGUCAAGGUGGCCAUCCUACUCUACAGCAGUGAUACAGUUACGGAAAAUAAAUGCACACAAAUGAACUGAGACUGGAGGAACCCCAGUGACACUGUUUUUAUGCCUCCAGAGUACAUCGUAUACAACAGAUGCUCAAUGAUGGUUCAGUUGAAUUCCAUUAAAUCAAGGAUGCAGUGGAGACACCUCAGUAAAGGCAGAGACACGCUUACCAGAAUGGGGCUGCACACCCUGUGCUUCUUUCGAGCCUGGUCCAUUCCAUCAGCAAAUCCUGUUGAUGAUUAUCUCCAGAAAAUAUCCAUAAUUGCACUGCUUCCCACCAUGCCUACCAACAUCCCCG
Homo sapiens (human) is the source of this 1499-nucleotide long non-coding RNA. RefSeq lists it as uncharacterized. The record is from RefSeq and is a predicted model, not a curated record. The transcript has 3 exons. Lineage: Eukaryota; Metazoa; Chordata; Mammalia; Primates; Hominidae.